UUUUAAGAAGUGAGCUAACACCGCCGCCGCUGGAUCACUAUCCCUAUGUCGAGCUUUCUGCAACAAAAGUUGCAGGCUCGACAAAAACCCCAAAAUUAUGAAGAAAAAAAUCCUCUCCCAUUUUUUUUUUCUUUUAACCCCCCUUGGAGUAAUUUACCCCAAACUCAAUUCCUGUCUGUUAUCAUGGUUAUGGUACCUUGCAGUACAAUUUCAGAGAGAUCGACACAUUUAAACACAAGUCACCUUAACUUUAAACGACCGCAGAGGUCAAACCCUGAA
This 279-nucleotide long non-coding RNA is filed under the name Mytilus galloprovincialis (Mediterranean mussel). The record is from RNAcentral. Lineage: Eukaryota; Metazoa; Mollusca; Bivalvia; Mytilida; Mytilidae.